This is a long non-coding RNA of Salvia splendens (bonfire salvia), 758 nucleotides long. RefSeq lists it as uncharacterized. The record is from RefSeq and is a predicted model, not a curated record. NCBI's taxonomy places the organism in Eukaryota, Viridiplantae, Streptophyta, Magnoliopsida, Lamiales, Lamiaceae. The transcript is spliced from 4 exons.
AAUACUAAUAAUACAGUAACAGUUAUUAUUAAAUUAAUAUUUUACAUUUUUUCAUUGAUUUCGUAUUUUUUGAAUGCUAUUAAUUGCACUUUCGAUGUAGUGACUUUAUACGUUCAAAUGUACUCCCUAUUUUUAGUUCUGGCGAUAAAAGUAUUAUGUUCAACCUAAGCUAUAAAUAUCUAUUGCGAUUCUUCACGAUCUAAAAAAUUAAAAUAAUUCACUAUAAUAUUUUAGAAUAAAUUUUAUUUAUAUUAUUCUCUAUUUAGAGUUUUAUCUUUCUAAUAAUUUGUUUCAAGCGCAAUACCUUCCACUAUUGGAAAUCUAUCAAACCUGCAAGAAAUAAGCCUCGCUUACAACAACUUAAAUGGUCCAAUACCAUCCACUAUUGGGAAUCUAAGCCAAUUUAGAAGAUCUUAAUCUCUUAUCCAACGAAUUAAAUGGUACAAUACCAUCUAGCAUUGGAAAUCUACAAUAUGUGUUUCGUCUACGCCUCACAUUCAACAAACUAAAUGGUCUAAUACCUUCCAGCAUUGGAAAUCUAUCAGAAAUGUCUUCGAACAAUUUGGUUGGAGUAAUUCCAAAUGAAAUGACAAGGUUGGCAUUUCUUUCGAAAUUAAACCUUUCAACGAAUCAUCUGGUGGGACGCAUACCACAAUCUAACCAGUUUUCCACAUUUGAGAAUGAUUCAUAUGUGGGAAACUUGGGGUUACGUGGAGUUCCGUUGAUGAAGAAAUGCGGAGAGGAGACUAAGCCAAAAC